UGUUUGGAUUUUACCAUCACUGCAGACUUGUUGGAAGCUCAUGUGAGACACAGUGAUCGUGUAUGUAAAAGCCACUUUGAAAAGAUAGCACAUGUUGGCAUUGUUUGAAAGAUACAGAAAGCUACAUGUUGAACCCUCACAUGAAUCUGGGGCUGCAUUACUGGAAACAUACUUUCCAC
This is a long non-coding RNA of Manis pentadactyla (Chinese pangolin), 179 nucleotides long. RefSeq lists it as uncharacterized. Lineage: Eukaryota; Metazoa; Chordata; Mammalia; Pholidota; Manidae. The transcript has 3 exons. The record is from RefSeq and is a predicted model, not a curated record.